This 229-nucleotide ribosomal RNA is filed under the name uncultured bacterium. Its description in RNAcentral is "partial 16S ribosomal RNA". It matches the Rfam family "Bacterial small subunit ribosomal RNA", at positions 568 to 796 of the family's 1533-position model. The record is from RNAcentral.
CGCGUAGGCGGUCUCUUAAGUCAGAUGUGAAAGCCCGGGGCUUAACCCUGGAAGUGCAUUUGAAACUAAGGGACUUGAGUAUGGGAGAGGGAAGUGGAAUUCCUGGUGUAGAGGUGAAAUUCGUAGAUAUCAGGAGGAACACCGGUGGCGAAGGCGACUUCCUGGACCAAUACUGACGCUAAGGCGCGAAGGCGUGGGGAGCAAACAGGAUUAGAUACCCUGGUAGUCC